This 484-nucleotide ribosomal RNA is filed under the name uncultured bacterium. RNAcentral describes it as "partial 16S ribosomal RNA". It matches the Rfam family "Bacterial small subunit ribosomal RNA", at positions 30 to 507 of the family's 1533-position model. The record is from RNAcentral.
AUUGAACGCUGGCGGCAGGCCUAACACAUGCAAGUCGAGCGGAUGAAGGGAGCUUGCUCCUGGAUUCAGCGGCGGACGGGUGAGUAAUGCCUAGGAAUCUGCCUGGUAGUGGGGGAUAACGUCCGGAAACGGGCGCUAAUACCGCAUACGUCCUGAGGGAGAAAGUGAGGGAUCUUCGGACCUCACGCUAUCAGAUGAGCCUAGGUCGGAUUAGCUAGUUGGUGGGGUAAAGGCCUACCAAGGCGACGAUCCGUAACUGGUCUGAGAGGAUGAUCAGUCACACUGGAACUGAGACACGGUCCAGACUCCUACGGGAGGCAGCAGUGGGGAAUAUUGGACAAUGGGCGAAAGCCUGAUCCAGCCAUGCCGCGUGUGUGAAGAAGGUCUUCGGAUUGUAAAGCACUUUAAGUUGGGAGGAAGAGCAGUAAGUUAAUACCUUGCUGUUUUGACGUUACCAACAGAAUAAGCACCGGCUAACUUCGUG